RNAcentral lists this ribosomal RNA (596 nucleotides) under Helicomyces scandens. Its description in RNAcentral is "eukaryotic LSU rRNA". It matches the Rfam family "Eukaryotic large subunit ribosomal RNA", at positions 27 to 636 of the family's 3401-position model. Lineage: Eukaryota; Fungi; Ascomycota; Dothideomycetes; Tubeufiales; Tubeufiaceae. The record is from RNAcentral.
GCUGAACUUAAGCAUAUCAAUAAGCGGAGGAAAAGAAACCAACAGGGAUUACCUCAGUAACGGCGAGUGAAGCGGUAACAGCUCAAAUUUGAAAUCUGGCUCUUUUAGGGUCCGAGUUGUAAUUUGUAGAAGAUGCUUUGGGCGUGGCUCCGGUCUAAGUUCCUUGGAACAGGACGUCACAGAGGGUGAGAAUCCCGUACGUGACUGGUUGCCUUCGUCCGUGUAAAGCUCUUUCGACGAGUCGAGUUGUUUGGGAAUGCAGCUCAAAAUGGGUGGUAUAUUUCAUCUAAAGCUAAAUAUUGGCCAGAGACCGAUAGCGCACAAGUAGAGUGAUCGAAAGAUGAAAAGCACUUUGGAAAGAGAGUUAAACAGUACGUGAAAUUGUUGAAAGGGAAGCGCUUGCAACCAGACUUGCACGUAGUUGAUCAUCCGAGGUUUUCCCCGGUGCACUCGAUUGCGUUCAGGCCAGCAUCGGUUUGGGUGGUUGGAUAAAGGCCUUGGGAAUGUAGCUCCUCUCGGGGAGUGUUAUAGCCCUCGGUGCAAUGCAGCCUAUCCGGACCGAGGACCGCGCUUCGGCUAGGAUGAGGCGUAAUGUG